RNAcentral lists this unclassified non-coding RNA (288 nucleotides) under uncultured Auricularia. RNAcentral describes it as "sequence contains ITS2". The stretch from base 1 to 52 matches the Rfam family "5.8S ribosomal RNA", at positions 103 to 154 of the family's 154-position model. The record is from RNAcentral. Lineage: Eukaryota; Fungi; Basidiomycota; Agaricomycetes; Auriculariales; Auriculariaceae.
AACGCAUCUUGCGCUCCUUGGUAUUCCAUGGAGCAUGCCUGUUUGAGUGUCACGUAAACCCUCACCCUUGUGAUGUCAAAGUCGCACGUGGUGGAUUUGGACUGUGCCGUAAUUGGCUCGUCCUGAAAUAUAUUAGCUGGCGCUGGUUAGAGUGCUCGGCAUGGUGUGAUAAUUAUCUGCGCCGUCGCCUUAGGCCUCUUCUGUGUGUGCUGCUUCCAAUCGUCCCUUGUGGACACUACAAUUUUAAGCUUUGGCCUCAAAUCAGGUAGGACUACCCGCUGAACUUAA